CCUACGGGUGGCAGCAGUGGGGAAUAUUGCACAAUGGGCGAAAGCCUGAUGCAGCAACGCCGCGUGAGCGAUGAAGGCCUUCGGGUCGUAAAGCUCUGUCCUCAAGGAAGAUAAUGACGGUACUUGAGGAGGAAGCCCCGGCUAACUACGUGCCAGCAGCCGCGGUAAUACGUAGGGGGCUAGCGUUAUCCGGAAUUACUGGGCGUAAAGGGUGCGUAGGUGGUUUCUUAAGUCAGAGGUGAAAGGCUACGGCUCAACCGUAGUAAGCCUUUGAAACUGGGGAACUUGAGUGCAGGAGAGGAGAGUGGAAUUCCUAGUGUAGCGGUGAAAUGCGUAGAUAUUAGGAGGAACACCAGUGGCGAAGGCGGCCUGUUGGAUGACAACUGACGGUGAGGCGCGAAAGCGUGGGGAGCAAACAGGAUUAGAUACCCGAGUAGUC
RNAcentral lists this ribosomal RNA (439 nucleotides) under uncultured bacterium. RNAcentral's name for it is "partial 16S ribosomal RNA". It matches the Rfam family "Bacterial small subunit ribosomal RNA", at positions 338 to 795 of the family's 1533-position model. The record is from RNAcentral.